CACCGCGGUUAUACGAGAGGCCCGAGUUGAUAAUUCUCGGCGUAAAGAGUGGUUAUGAAAUGUAUAAACUAAAGCCGCACCCCUUCAAAGCUGUCGCACGCACUCGAAGGCCAGAAGCUCAACCACGAAGGUGGCUUUAUAACCCACACCCCACGAAAGCUAUGGCA
Molecule: ribosomal RNA, 167 nt
Filed under: Parascorpaena moultoni
Lineage: Eukaryota; Metazoa; Chordata; Actinopteri; Perciformes; Scorpaenidae
Description: partial 12S rRNA
Source: RNAcentral